Molecule: ribosomal RNA, 253 nt
Filed under: uncultured bacterium
Lineage: Bacteria
Description: partial 16S ribosomal RNA
Rfam family: Bacterial small subunit ribosomal RNA
Source: RNAcentral
CACGUAGGGGGCAAGCGUUGUCCGGAUUUAUUGGGCGUAAAGAGCUCGUAGGUGGCUGAGUAAGUCGGAUGUCAAAUCCCCAGGCUCAACCUGGGACACCACCCGACACUGCUCUGGCUAGAGUCCGGUAGGGGAGCGUGGAAUUCCUGGUGUAGCGGUGAAAUGCGCAGAUAUCAGGAGGAACACCAGCGGCGAAGGCGGCGCUCUGGGCCGGUACUGACGCUGAGGAGCGAAAGCGUGGGGAGCAAACAGG